This 253-nucleotide ribosomal RNA is filed under the name uncultured bacterium. RNAcentral describes it as "partial 16S ribosomal RNA". It matches the Rfam family "Bacterial small subunit ribosomal RNA", at positions 524 to 776 of the family's 1533-position model. The record is from RNAcentral.
GACGAACCGGACAAACGUUAUUCGGAAUCACUGGGCUUAAAGAGUACGUAGGCGGCUUGGUAGGUUGGGUGUGAAAUCCCACAGCUCAACUGUGGAACUGCGCUCAAAACCACCAAGCUUGAGGGAGACAGGGGUGAGCGGAACUGAUGGUGGAGCGGUGAAAUGCGUUGAUAUCAUCAGGAACACCGGUGGCGAAGGCGGCUCACUGGGUCUCUUCUGACGCUGAGGUACGAAAGCUAGGGUAGCGAACGGG